This 135-nucleotide ribosomal RNA is filed under the name Castor canadensis (American beaver). Lineage: Eukaryota; Metazoa; Chordata; Mammalia; Rodentia; Castoridae. The record is from RNAcentral.
GUCUACGGCCAUACCACCCUGAACACUUCCAAUCUCAUCUGAUCUCGGAAGCUAAGCAGGGUGGGGCCUGGUUAGUACUUGGAUGGAAGACAGGUCUUCAGAGGAGAUUGCUCAGAGACAAGCAGUUUGUAGACA